RNAcentral lists this ribosomal RNA (468 nucleotides) under uncultured bacterium. RNAcentral's name for it is "partial 16S ribosomal RNA". It matches the Rfam family "Bacterial small subunit ribosomal RNA", at positions 28 to 507 of the family's 1533-position model. The record is from RNAcentral.
GAUGAACGCUGGCGGCGUACUUAACACAUGCAAGUCGAACGGAAAGGCCGAAGCUUGCUUCGGUACUCGAGUGGCGAACGGGUGAGUAACACGUGGGUGAUCUGCCCUGUACUUCGGGAUAAGCUUGGGAAACUGGGUCUAAUACCGGAUAUGACGAUCUCUUGGAUGGGGUUGUGGAAAGCUUUUGCGGUAUGGGAUGAGCUCGCGGCCUAUCAGCUUGUUGGUGGGGUAAUGGCCUACCAAGGCGUCGACGGGUAGCCGGCCUGAGAGGGUGUACGGCCACAUUGGGACUGAGAUACGGCCCAGACUCCUACGGGAGGCAGCAGUGGGGAAUAUUGCACAAUGGGCGCAAGCCUGAUGCAGCGACGCCGCGUGGGGGAUGACGGCCUUCGGGUUGUAAACUCCUUUCGCAAUCGACGAAGCCUUUUGGUGACGGUAGGUUGAGAAGAAGCACCGGCUAACUACGUG